This 497-nucleotide ribosomal RNA is filed under the name uncultured bacterium. RNAcentral's name for it is "partial 16S ribosomal RNA". It matches the Rfam family "Bacterial small subunit ribosomal RNA", at positions 28 to 507 of the family's 1533-position model. The record is from RNAcentral.
GAUGAACGCUGGCAGCGUGCCUAAUACAUGCAAGUCGAGCGAACGGACGAGAAGCUUGCUUCUCUGAUGUUAGCGGCGGACGGGUGAGUAACACGUGGAUAACCUACCUAUAAGACUGGGAUAACUUCGGGAAACCGGAGCUAAUACCGGAUAAUAUUUUGAACCGCAUGGUUCAAAAGUGAAAGACGGUCUUGCUGUCACUUAUAGAUGGAUCCGCGCUGCAUUAGCUAGUUGGUAAGGUAACGGCUUACCAAGGCAACGAUGCAUAGCCGACCUGAGAGGGUGAUCGGCCACCCUGGAACUGAGACACGGUCCAGACUCCUACGGGAGGCAGCAGUCGGGAAUCUUCCGCAAUGGGCGAAAGCCUGACGGAGCAACGCCGCGUGAGUGAUGAAGGUCUUCGGAUCGUAAAACUCUGUUAUUAGGGAAGAACAUAUGUGUAAGUAACUGUGCACAUCUUGACGGUACCUAAUCAGAAAGCCACGGCUAACUACGUG